Molecule: ribosomal RNA, 253 nt
Filed under: uncultured bacterium
Lineage: Bacteria
Description: partial 16S ribosomal RNA
Rfam family: Bacterial small subunit ribosomal RNA
Source: RNAcentral
UACGUAGGGUGCAAGCGUUGUCCGGAAUUAUUGGGCGUAAAGAGCUCGUAGGCGGUUUGUCGCGUCUGCUGUGAAAACUCGGGGCUUAACCCCGGGCCUGCAGUGGGUACGGGCAGACUAGAGUGCGGUAGGGGAGACUGGAAUUCCGGGUGUAGCGGUGGAAUGCGUAGAGAUCCGGAAGAACACCGGUGGCGAAGGCGGCCUGCUGGGCAGUUGCUGACACUGAGGCGCGACAGCGUGGGGAGCAAACAGG